RNAcentral lists this ribosomal RNA (381 nucleotides) under uncultured eukaryote. RNAcentral's name for it is "SSU rRNA". It matches the Rfam family "Eukaryotic small subunit ribosomal RNA", at positions 587 to 972 of the family's 1831-position model. The record is from RNAcentral.
AGCUCCAAUAGCGUAUAUUAAAGUUGUUGCGGUUAAAAAGCUCGUAGUUGGAUUUCUGCCGAGGACGACCGGUCCGCCCUCUGGGUGAGUAUCUGGCUCGGCCUGGGCAUCUUCUUGGAGAACGUAGCUGCACUUGACUGUGUGGUGCGGUAUCCAGGACUUUUACUUUGAGGAAAUUAGAGUGUUUCAAGCAGGCUUACGCCUUGAAUACAUUAGCAUGGAAUAAUAAGAGAGGACCUCAGUUCUAUUUUGUUGGUUUCUAGAGCUGAGGUAAUGGUUGAUAGGGAUAGUUGGGGGCAUUCGUAUUUAACUGUCAGAGGUGAAAUUCUUGGAUUUGUUAAAGACGAACUACUGCGAAAGCAUUUGCCAAGGAUGUUUUCA